UGGUCUGAAAGUGAGUAAACA
Molecule: non-coding RNA, 21 nt
Filed under: Caenorhabditis elegans
Lineage: Eukaryota; Metazoa; Nematoda; Chromadorea; Rhabditida; Rhabditidae
Source: RNAcentral